GGCGAGUGAAGCGGCAACAGCUCAAAUUUGAAAUCUGGCUCUUUUAGAGUCCGAGUUGUAAUUUGCAGAGGGCGCUUUGGCUUUGGCAGCGGUCCAAGUUCCUUGGAACAGGACGUCACAGAGGGUGAGAAUCCCGUACGUGGUCGCUGGCUAUUGCCGUGUAAAGCCCCUUCGACGAGUCGAGUUGUUUGGGAAUGCAGCUCUAAAUGGGAGGUACAUUUCUUCUAAAGCUAAAUAUUGGCCAGAGACCGAUAGCGCACAAGUAGAGUGAUCGAAAGAUGAAAAGCACUUUGGAAAGAGAGUCAAACAGCACGUGAAAUUGUUGAAAGGGAAGCGCUUGCAGCCAGACUUGCUUACAGUUGCUCAUCCGGGUUUCUACCCGGUGCACUCUUCUGUAGGCAGGCCAGCAUCAGUUUGGGCGGUAGGAUAAAGGUCUCUGUCACGUACCUCCUUUCGGGGAGGCCUUAUAGGGGAGACGACAUACU
This 485-nucleotide ribosomal RNA is filed under the name Alternaria alternata. RNAcentral's name for it is "eukaryotic LSU rRNA". It matches the Rfam family "Eukaryotic large subunit ribosomal RNA", at positions 88 to 577 of the family's 3401-position model. The record is from RNAcentral. Lineage: Eukaryota; Fungi; Ascomycota; Dothideomycetes; Pleosporales; Pleosporaceae.